CCUACGGGAGGCAGCAGUAGGGAAUCUUCCACAAUGGACGAAAGUCUGAUGGAGCAACGCCGCGUGAGCGAUGAAGGCCUUCGGGUCGUAAAGCUCUGUUGUUAGGGAAGAACAAGUACCGGAGUAACUGCCGGUACCUUGACGGUACCUAACCAGAAAGCCACGGCUAACUACGUGCCAGCAGCCGCGGUAAUACGUAGGUGGCAAGCGUUGUCCGGAAUUAUUGGGCGUAAAGGGCAUGUAGGCGUUUCGCUAAGCCCUAUCUGAAAUCCUUCGGCUUAACCGGAGGGCUGGAUAGGGGACUAUCGGAAUUGAGGCGAGAAGAGGAGAGUGGAAUUCCCGGUGUAGCGGUGAAAUGUGUAGAUAUCGGGAGGAACACCAGUGGCGAAGGCGGCUCUCUGGUCUGUAACUGACGCUGAGGCGCGAAAGCGUGGGGAGCAAACAGGAUUAGAUACCCUGGUAGUCCACGCCGUAAACGAUGAGUGCUAAGUGUUAGAGGGUUUCCGCCCUUUAGUGCUGCAGCUAACGCAUUAAGCACUCCGCCUGGGGAGUACGGCCGCAAGGCUGAAACUCAAAGGAAUUGACGG
This 587-nucleotide ribosomal RNA is filed under the name uncultured bacterium. RNAcentral describes it as "bacterial SSU rRNA". It matches the Rfam family "Bacterial small subunit ribosomal RNA", at positions 338 to 916 of the family's 1533-position model. The record is from RNAcentral.